Haliotis rubra (blacklip abalone) is the source of this 1016-nucleotide long non-coding RNA. RefSeq lists it as uncharacterized. NCBI's taxonomy places the organism in Eukaryota, Metazoa, Mollusca, Gastropoda, Lepetellida, Haliotidae. The record is from RefSeq and is a predicted model, not a curated record. The transcript is spliced from 2 exons.
CAUGUAUGUAAAAGUCUUGUUAUGAAUAUUAAUACAAGAUAAGAAUUGUUGUCAGGAAACAAGCACAUAUAUGUAAAGUUUGGUAUGAAUGUCACUACAGGAUAAGAAUUGUCAGGAAACAAGCACAUGUAUGUAAGUCUUGUUAUGAAUAUCGCUAUAAGAUAAGAAUUGUUGUCAGGAAACAAGCACAUGUAUGUAAGUUUCGUUAUGAAUAUUAAUACAAGAUAAGAAUUGUUGUCCGGAAACAAGCACAUGUAUGUAAAGUUUGGCAUGAAUGUCACUACAGGAUAAGAAUUGUUGUCAGGCAACAAGCACAUGUAUGUAACUCUUGUAAUGAAUGUUAAUACAAGAUAAGAAUUGUUGUCAGGAAACAAGCACAUGUAUGUAAGUCUUGUUAUGAAUAUCGCUAUAAGAUAAGAAUUGUUGUCAGGAAACAAGCACAUGUAUGUAAGUUUCGUUAUGAAUAUUAAUACAAGAUAAGAAUUGUUGUCCGGAAACAAGCACAUGUAUGUAAAGUUUGGCAUGAAUGUCACUACAGGAUAAGAAUUGUUGUCAGGCAACAAGCACAUGUAUGUAACUCUUGUAAUGAAUGUUAAUACAAGAUAAGAAUUGUUGUCAGGAAACAAGCACAUGUAUGUAAAUCUUGUAAUGAAUAUUAAUACAAGAUAAGAAUUGUUGUCAGGAAACAAGCACAUGUAUGUAAAUCUUGUAGUGAAUGUUAAUACAAGAUAAGAAUUGUUGUCAGGAAACAAGCACAUGUAUGUAAAUCUUGUAAUGAAUGUUAAUACAAGAUAAGAAUUGUUGUCAGGAAACAAGCACAUGUAUGUAAAUCUUGUAGUGAAUGUUAAUACAAGAUAAGAAUUGUUGUCAGGAAACAAGCACAUGUAUGUAAAUCUUGUAAUGAAUGUUAAUACAAGAUAAGAAUUGUUGUCAGGAAACAAGCACAUGUAUCCAAGAUUGUAUCAUAAAUUGAUGGAGCUCUAACCUGCAAGACAUGAAUAAUAUAUACACAUUUU